CCUACGGGAGGCAGCAGUGAGGAAUAUUGGUCAAUGGACGCAAGUCUGAACCAGCCAUGCCGCGUGCAGGAAGACGGCUCUAUGAGUUGUAAACUUCUUUUGUACGAGGGUAAACUCAUAUACGCGUAGCAGUCUGAAAGUAUCGUACGAAUAAGGAUCGGCUAACUCCGUGCCAGCAGCCGCGGUAAUACGGAGGAGUCAAGCAUUAUCCGGAUUUCUUGGGUUUAAAGGGUGCGUAGGCGGAAUAUCAAGUCAGCGGUAAAAAUUCGGGGCUCAACCCCGUCGUGCCGUUGAAACUGAUGGUCUUGAGUGGGCGAGAAGUAUGCGGAAUGCGUGGUGUAGCGGUGAAAUGCAUAGAUAUCACGCAGAACUCCGAUUGCGAAGGCAGCAUACCGGCGCCCAACUGACGCUGAAGCACGAAAGCGUGGGUAUCGAACAGGAUUAGAUACCCUUGUAGUC
RNAcentral lists this ribosomal RNA (459 nucleotides) under uncultured bacterium. Its description in RNAcentral is "partial 16S ribosomal RNA". It matches the Rfam family "Bacterial small subunit ribosomal RNA", at positions 338 to 795 of the family's 1533-position model. The record is from RNAcentral.